This 325-nucleotide ribosomal RNA is filed under the name uncultured eukaryote. RNAcentral's name for it is "partial 18S ribosomal RNA". It matches the Rfam family "Eukaryotic small subunit ribosomal RNA", at positions 1470 to 1796 of the family's 1831-position model. The record is from RNAcentral.
CCCUUAGAUGUUCUGGGUCGCACGCGCGCUACACUGAUGCAUUCAACGAGCCUAUCCUUGACCGACAGGUCCGGGUAAUCUUUGAAUCUGCAUCGUGACGGGGAUAGAUUGUUGCAAUUAUUAAUCUUCAACGAGGAAUGCCUAGUAGGCGCAAGUCAUCAGCUUGCGUCGAUUACGUCCCUGCCCUUUGUACACACCGCCCGUCGCUCCUACCGAUUGGGUGUGCUGGUGAAAUGUUCGGAUCGGCCGUUUGUCGCGGUUUCCGCGGCUCGUGGCUGAGAAGUUCAUUAAACCCUCCCACCUAGAGGAAGGAGAAGUCGUAACA